Molecule: small nucleolar RNA, 132 nt
Organism: Mastomys coucha (southern multimammate mouse)
Lineage: Eukaryota; Metazoa; Chordata; Mammalia; Rodentia; Muridae
Product: small nucleolar RNA SNORA17
Exons: 1
Source: RefSeq, a predicted model, not a curated record
ACUGCUCCUAGAGGCAUGGCAGGUGUGACUUCUGUGUCAUGUGUGCAACAGUAGGCGGCAGAGAGGAGAAAGGCUAUGUCUAUUCUCAGUGUUCUGACCUGUGAACAUUUGAAUGAUUAGUAGCCUAACAUU